AGCAUCCUAAUUAUAACUAAUUAUUUUGGUGGUCAAACCAGUGUGUAAAUAAGUGAAUUUUAACAUUCCCUUAAAUUUACUACAUGCCUUGCUAAAUCAGUGGUAUUUACUGAGCUACUGGAUUUUAUUUUAUUUUAAUGUUUUGCAUACACUGCAAUAUUAUUUUUCUGAAUUUCACCCUGCUUGUGUUAUACAGAUUAAUUGGUGAUUUUAUAUCAAUUUAUUGUGGUUCUUCUGUUUCUUGACAGGUACAUGAUGCAUGUGUCUGCUAUCUUGAAUAUCAGUGAGAAUUGCAUGCCCACAAGGUUUUCUUAUUCGAUAACAUGAUUUGGUGUUUGAUGCUAAGUUGCAAAGCUCCAUGGUAUUUAAAGAUUUUUCCUACUGCUACAGCCUGGUCACAACUAAUGUUUUCAUGGCCUACUGGCUAGAUGAGUUUACUCCCUUUCUGGAAGCCCGGUCCACUGCAGGCUGCAAGCAUUAGACUAAUUUGGAUCCUUAAAACAGAAGUGAUUUUCAUAGUAUCUAAAUUUUAUUUUGAGUUGUUGAAAUCAGGUUAAUAUUGUUUACUCACCAUUCAUAAUAUGUAAUAAUUAGAGGUCAAGCUAAACACCGAACUCGCUGCCGUCGUUGGGAAGCACAGCAGAGGUUGCAGGAUGUUGCAGUGAUGCAUGCCAACUACCAGAGUUUGUCACCAAAAAGGUAACUCAUAUCUUUUGCAUUGAAUUUAUUUUGAAUUGCGCAGUACCGGCUGAUGGUCAGGACACAAGACAUGGGCUGCAGGCUGUCGUGGUGCUCAUCUCGGUGGCAUUGAAUUUACUCGAAAAUGUGCAGCUGCAGACCUAUAGUAAUCAUGGUUAAAUAUAUUCUGAUUGGGUAGUUCAAAAUUUAGUAGUAGUAGCUGAUUGGAGCAAUGUAAAAGAAAGAUUCCCCUCAAUUCUGGCUCUUUUGGUAGGUAAAUGUUGAACCUUAGGUGUCAUUUUUCUUUCAUACAGUCAACUUCUGUAUUUUUCAUGUGCGCUUUGAACCAUUGUUCAAGCUUGAGAUCUUUUUGUUGGUUCAAACGAGAUUGCUUUGCAGCUAUAUCUUCCCAUAUUUCUAUCUUAUACAUUGUUUAGAGAGCUAAAUUUACCGUUCCUGAUAAUACUGGAUUUUGUAUUAAUUGUGUGCUUAUGCUACCAUGCAGGUAAAGUAGCUUGGCACUGGCGCUUAUAUUUGUUUAGCUCACAAAUUAGUUAGGGAAUGAUGAGACGAAAUCCUUGGCCAAUAGAGCCCUAAUCUUACCGUUCACUACUUGGUCAACUUACUUCGUUGCUUUUUUCUAAACUUCUACUCCCAAAUAUCCUGGUGGGAACUCGAAUCUUUCAACACUGCCUUUUUCGUGCUGCAGAAAUGACUGUUUAUUCAAAGGAACCGAACCAAGUCUUUACAGAUUUGGGAGUAUCCUCGAGAAGUUGAUGCAUAAGGUCUCCUUGAGAGCGGAAAGAAGAGUAUAUGAUGACCUACAGACCUGGAUUGCAAGAUAUAGGUAUCCUUUUGUAUUUAUGCAUCUCUACAUACUCCCCUACAUUUCCAGUACAGUUUAUUUGUCUCCCAUCUUGAGCUCCUGCCGGUAGGUCUGAGGUUGGUCGCUGGCCCAUGUCUCUGUUGCUUGAAGUUGCUGUUCAACGGAUGCGAGGCGUACCGCUCCAAAGCUGAUCUGUUCUCGCUCUUUGUUGCUUCGCCUCGCUAGAUUUAAUAUGUUUUCUGGUUUACUUCUGUAUCAAUUUCUCCUUUUUGCCACUAGAAGUGAGUCCUUAAAUUGGUGAACUGACUUAUCAAUUUCAGGUUAUUUAAAUAGAAGAUGGAAACAUCCCCAAGGUCCCAACAGUACAGCCAGGGCAUCUGCUGGAGUAGGAGUACAGGUUGCCGGCCUCCAUCUUGGCAUAAGGUCUGUUAUCUUAGCAAUCCCUUGCUGUGUCUGGUUCUCGGUAGAACCAAAGCAUAUGGCCAAUAGAUGGAUUUACGAUGGGAUAAAAAUGGUUAAUUAGCUGGGUUUGCUAAGCUAUGUUUUGUUUCUUCUCUGUCCCUAUACUCCAUUGAAGGGAAAAAUUAGAGUUGGAAUUCUCUAAAAUAAUUCUGCAGGUGUUGUUUGUUUUGUACUUUCUAUAUAUGAAAAGAUGGACAUGUUGUGUAGUUUACAGUAGCAAUUGGAAAAUUAGUACGGGUGCAUGCCAACAUUGAGAGUUAAGGUUCAGAAGUGUUAGCCUGUUGAGUGUUGACUUCAAACAUCUUCUAUUAAGGUUCUCCUUGGGCUGUUUGGUGCAGUGAGUUUAGAAUUAAGUCUUUUAUUUCUACAAGCAUAAUUUCGAGGCACACCCUGAAUAAAAAUUGUAGACCAUGUUCCAGGCUUUCCAUAUAAUAUUUAUUUGUGCAAUUUGGUUGGACACAUUCAAAUAGCGCCCAGUUUAUUGAUCUGUCCAGAAUAUAGUUCUUCUAUAGACAGUAAACUUCAUUACAACUUUGGAUGGACACUUUUUACUUAGUCUUGGGCAUAGGAACGUUGCUAUUUUCUGAAUGUUAUGAAGUGGUGAUUUGAUAUAUGUUUGGAUAAGAGUUAUGGCUCCAUGGACAUGGUUUUCACAUGGUGUUUCUAUAAUCAUUCUAGCUAUUUUUUACUCACAGUCAGAGAUGACACAAUUGUUUGUGGAAAUUUUGAUGUGAGAUAUCAGACAAUGUUUCCCAUAGAAAGAUUAAAUAUAUUUUUUUCAUUCUGCUCGAUGGUGAAAAUUCAUGUCAAGAAGAUCAAAAGAAUGCACACACCAAUGAACUGGCUGAAAACUGCAUACCUUUCGAAAAGCUGGGUGAAAAUUUCAAAUAGAGGUUGACAGAAAUAUCAAAUAAUCAAUGGCUUGCAUGCAUAUUAUUAUGUUCCCUUACAUAUCCUUUGUGAGAUAUAUUCUUGCUUUUCCCACCAGACUCUUUCGGAAAUUAAAAUACAUACCGACUGAUGGAUCAAUCGAAAAAAUGAUUUACUUUCUCGGACUGCAACCAAGAAAGCACAUAUGUUCUUUAUGUACAAUGCAACCUUGGCUAAUAUGAUACCCCGUCCUUUCUUACCAGGUUUAAGUCAUAGUUGUCAUUGAGAUUUCAUCCAGGGUCUUGAUCAUGGCAGCUUCCAGAUCAAUUGUACAACACUAUAGCCACGAAGUGUGAAGUGUGAAGUGACGGUGACCUACCUCUAUUGGUAUGUCAUAUACAUCAAUCUAUUGGAAAAGUCUGGCUAUGGGGAAAACACAUGCCCUAUGUACA
Lolium perenne is the source of this 3288-nucleotide non-coding RNA. NCBI's taxonomy places the organism in Eukaryota, Viridiplantae, Streptophyta, Magnoliopsida, Poales, Poaceae. The record is from RefSeq and is a predicted model, not a curated record.